RNAcentral lists this ribosomal RNA (494 nucleotides) under uncultured bacterium. RNAcentral's name for it is "partial 16S ribosomal RNA". It matches the Rfam family "Bacterial small subunit ribosomal RNA", at positions 29 to 506 of the family's 1533-position model. The record is from RNAcentral.
AUGAACGCUGGCGGCGUGCCUAAUACAUGCAAGUCGCGCGAACAGACGAGGAGCUUGCUCCUCUGACGUUAGCGGCGGACGGGUGAGUAACACGUGGAUAACCUACCUAUAAGACUGGGAUAACUUCGGGAAACCGGAGCUAAUACCGGAUAAUAUAUUGAACCGCAUGGUUCAAUAGUGAAAGACGGUUUUGCUGUCACUUAUAGAUGGAUCCGCGCCGCAUUAGCUAGUUGUAAGGUAACGGCUUACCAAGGCAACGAUGCGUAGCCGACCUGAGAGGGUGAUCGGCCACACUGGAACUGAGACACGGUCCAGACUCCUACGGGAGGCAGCAGUAGGGAAUCUUCCGCAAUGGGCGAAAGCCUGACGGAGCAACGCCGCGUGAGUGAUGAAGGUCUUCGGAUCGUAAAACUCUGUUAUUAGGGAAGAACAAAUGUGUAAGUAACUAUGCACGUCUUGACGGUACCUAAGCAGAAAGCCACGGCUAACUACGU